UACCAGCACCCCGAGUGGUCGGGACGAUUAUUGGGCCUAAAGCAUCCGUAGCCGGUCCUACAAGUCUUCCGUUAAAUCCACCUGCUUAACAGAUGGGCUGCGGGGGAUACUACAGGGCUAGGAGGCGGGAGAGGCAAACGGUACUCAGUGGGUAGGGGUAAAAUCCACUGAUCCACUGAAGACCACCAGUGGCGAAGGCGGUUUGCCAGAACGCGCUCGACGGUGAGGGAUGAAAGCUGGGGGAGCAAACCGG
RNAcentral lists this ribosomal RNA (253 nucleotides) under uncultured bacterium. RNAcentral describes it as "partial 16S ribosomal RNA". It matches the Rfam family "Archaeal small subunit ribosomal RNA", at positions 474 to 727 of the family's 1478-position model. The record is from RNAcentral.